CUUCUUGUCCCAUCUCGCACUAUUAGGUCAAUAAUACUAGACUUACGAAUAAGGUAGUAUACAAAAUCUUACGUGAUUCCCUUUAUCUACUACUAAUCUCUCCUUGAUUUUCAGGGAGUGGGCUUCAACCUUCCCUUAAUCCAAUCAAAUGUUACCAAACGAGACUAGCCCGUAAAAAUAUGUAACUUUUUACAUGGAUGUAGCAUUUCCCCUAUUAGGUGAGGGUUUUUAUUGCCAAAAAGGUACACAUGUCCAUCUAUCAUUUUGUUCCUCUCUCUCUCAGCUAUCAUAAUUAUUUUCCCAAAGAAAAGCUCUCAUAAUUACACCACACACACAAGACGUCAAAGUUUAAUUAAAAAAUCAUCACACAUAGAAGUCUGGCCACGUGGAACGCAGAAACUCGCGCCGUGGAAAGCGACCAAACUCGACCGGAGCAAAAUCCUUCCUUUCGGCCGCUGGUAAUGGCGAUGUAGUAGGCUAAUGAAGCGCAUACGUGGCGACGAGAGCGACGACCAUGAGCGCGUAGGCGACACCCCGGUCCACGGCCUCCCGGUCAACGAACCUCCGCCUCCCCUGCGCCGGAGCCGUCUCGUCCGCGCCUGCCGCCGCCGAGCCCCCCGCCAUCCCGAUAAAUCGAUGCACCGAGCAGGACGACAGAAACCCGAUCCUAGAGCUAGCUUGGGAGAGAGCUUACACCAGCGACUGUAUUCUACUACGUAGGUGACGAGUUCGCCAGCUAGGGAGGGUCUGAUGCCAUGGCAUGCGCGCGCGCGCAGAAAUAUAUACGCGCGGAGGGAGCUGCUAGCUAGGAAACGUCGCGAGAGCUGGGAGCGCGUGGCGACGCCAGGUAGACUUCAGACGGCAGCCGCCACGUUUGAUCGGGGGACGCCUCUUUGCCUGUCGCUUCGGCGGUGCCGGCUCUUGAUCUGGCCGGCUGGGACGGCAGCCGUUCGCUGGACCCAGACGCAGGGAAUAACCUA
This 980-nucleotide long non-coding RNA is filed under the name Hordeum vulgare. RNAcentral describes it as "long non-coding RNA (HVUL_LNC015366)". The record is from RNAcentral. Lineage: Eukaryota; Viridiplantae; Streptophyta; Magnoliopsida; Poales; Poaceae.